UGAGUAACCUGCCCUUAACUCUGGGAUAAGCCUGGGAAACCGGGUCUAAUACCGGAUAUGACUGCCGGCCGCAUGGCCUGGUGGUGGAAAGCUUUAUUGCGGUUUUGGAUGGACUCGCGGCCUAUCAGCUUGUUGGUGAGGUAAUGGCUUACCAAGGCGACGACGGGUAGCCGGCCUGAGAGGGCGACCGGCCACACUGGGACUGAGACACGGCCCAGACUCCUACGGGAGGCAG
RNAcentral lists this ribosomal RNA (235 nucleotides) under uncultured bacterium. Its description in RNAcentral is "partial 16S ribosomal RNA". It matches the Rfam family "Bacterial small subunit ribosomal RNA", at positions 118 to 351 of the family's 1533-position model. The record is from RNAcentral.